CGAACGGAACCGCAAGGUUCAGUGGCGGACGGGUGAGUAACGCGUGGGCAACCUGCCCUGAAGAUUGGGAUAACACUCCGAAAGGAGUGCUAAUACCGGAUGUAGUCACGAGGUCGCAUGACCUCUUGAAAAAAGGAGAAAUCCACUUCAGGAUGGGCCCGCGUCUGAUUAGCUAGUUGGUGGGGUAAAGGCCUACCAAGGCGACGAUCAGUAGCCGACCUGAGAGGGUGAUCGGCCACACUGGGACUGAGACACGGCCCAGACUCCUACGGGAGGCAGCAGUCGGGAAUAUUGGGCAAUGGACGAAAGUCUGACCCAGCAAUGCCGCGUGAGUGACGAAGGUCUUCGGAUCGUAAAGCUCUGUCUUCAGGGACGAAAAAAGUGACGGUACCUGAGGAGGAAGCCCCGGCUAACUACGUGCCAGCAGCCGCGGUAAUACGUAGGGGGCGAGCGUUGUCCGGAAUUACUGGGCGUAAAGGGCGAGUAGGCGGCUAUACAAGUCAGAUGUGAAAUACAGGGGCUCAACCCCUGGACUGCAUUUGAAACUGUAUAGCUUGAGUGCAGGAGAGGAAAGUGGAAUUCCCAGUGUAGCGGUGAAAUGCGUAGAUAUUGGGAGGAACACCAGUGGCGAAGGCGACUUUCUGGACUGUAACUGACGCUGAGGCGCGAAAGCGUGGGGAGCAAACAGGAUUAGAUACCCUGGUAGUCCACGCCGUAAACGAUGAGUGCUAGGUGUAGAGGGUAUCGACCCCUUCUGUGCCGCAGUUAACACAAUAAGCACUCCGCCUGGGGAGUACGGUCGCAAGACUGAAACUCAAAGGAAUUGACGGGGGCCCGCACAAGCAGCGGAGCAUGUGGUUUAAUUCGACGCNACGCGAAGAACCUUACCAGGACUUGACAUCCCUCGCUAGUCUUAGAAAUGA
Molecule: ribosomal RNA, 923 nt
Filed under: Firmicutes bacterium CE17
Lineage: Bacteria; Bacillati; Bacillota
Description: bacterial SSU rRNA
Rfam family: Bacterial small subunit ribosomal RNA
Source: RNAcentral